UCUAAAAACAAAGAGGGAUUCAAGGUACUCUCAAGAACGGAGCGGCAGUGCCUCAACGGUAUUCUGGAUUUUGUUCUAGAAUGUCUCAACGGAACUCUGGGUUUUUUUCUUCUGAAUUUUCUUCUAGAAUGUCUCAACGGAACUCUGGAUUUUCUUCUAGAAUGUCUCAACGGUACUCUAGAUGCCUCAACCGAGGCACUCAAAUUAUAGCCCUGAGAUGAGAGGAGAUCGACGACCUGGAUGAAAUGGCCGUUAAUUUUUCCAUGUUACCGUUUGAAAUAGCACCUCACCUCUUCUAUUUAUAGAAGGGGUAGAGUGUUCCCCAUUCUAUUUUUUUUUGGUUUGCCUGUGUUUGUAAUGUUUUUCCAUUUUAUUCAGACUGUUCCCUAUUCUAUUUGUCUUUUUGUUUGCGUGUGAUUCUCUUAUACUUUUAUUCAGUUUUGUGUUUGGAUUUUUUUCUUUUUUAAUUUUCAUGGUAUUUGUGGAUGGUGAAUUUAGAAUGGGGCACUGAGGAGGGCAGAGCUAUACAUUCAUUAUAUUUGCAGUUGCAUUUGCUCUAAUAUGCAAGGAGGUAAUCGAUCACGGAACCUAUUCUGCCAGAGCUUGGGAGGCGUUUACAGAGUCCUUUAUAGCAUAUGGAGAUCGGCUAUAACUCUUAUUCAGGCUAGGUUCCGCCAGAGCUCGAGUACUUGGACAUUGCUGGUGCUAAUCUUUCCGGCGUACUGCCACAAGGUAAGGUGAGAAAGAUGAGGACAAUGAAUGAGAUGGUGAUGGUGCCCCACACCCCAAGCAAUAGCAAUAACAAGGUGGUGAAACUUCCACCACAGCGAGGGCAGAUAAAGAAGAAGAUAUUCAAAAGUGUGGGGCAUUGUCUAUUCAAGAAGGCUGUGAAUUCUGUGCGUUUUAUGAUACGUCUGAAGAAUUCAAUGGUGAAGAACAAAUUCUGCAUCUCUGCCAAAUUACUCCAAUCUUUAACAAGGCGUUUCAGUUUUGGCCACACUACUUCUACACACCCUUCUCAUCUACUUUGAUAAAUAUGGUUUAUUUUUGUUAUUGUUAUGUAUGUUAAGGAAGAUUGUCAGCGUAAUAACAACGCUUUUGAAUUGAAAAUAGAUUGAAGAUUAUCAGCGUUAUAACAACGCUUUUGAAUUUAAAAUAUAUAUUUAGUUUUUUAUUAGUUUCAA
Long non-coding RNA from Cryptomeria japonica (Japanese cedar), 1184 nucleotides. RefSeq lists it as uncharacterized. The record is from RefSeq and is a predicted model, not a curated record. NCBI's taxonomy places the organism in Eukaryota, Viridiplantae, Streptophyta, Pinopsida, Cupressales, Cupressaceae. The transcript has 2 exons.